Molecule: ribosomal RNA, 429 nt
Filed under: Chloroflexota bacterium
Lineage: Bacteria; Bacillati; Chloroflexota
Description: Chloroflexi bacterium partial 16S ribosomal RNA
Rfam family: Bacterial small subunit ribosomal RNA
Source: RNAcentral
UGGGGAAUAUUGCACAAUGGGCGCAAGCCUGAUGCAGCCAUGCCGCGUGUGUGAAGAAGGCCUUCGGGUUGUAAAGCACUUUCAGCGGGGAGGAAGGCGAUAAGGUUAAUAACCUUGUCGAUUGACGUUACCCGCAGAAGAAGCACCGGCUAACUCCGUGCCAGCAGCCGCGGUAAUACGGAGGGUGCAAGCGUUAAUCGGAAUUACUGGGCGUAAAGCGCACGCAGGCGGUCUGUCAAGUCGGAUGUGAAAUCCCCGGGCUCAACCUGGGAACUGCAUUCGAAACUGGCAGGCUAGAGUCUUGUAGAGGGGGGUAGAAUGCCAGGUGUAGCGGUGAAAUGCGUAGAGAUCUGGAGGAAUACCGGUGGCGAAGGCGGCCCCCUGGACAAAGACUGACGCUCAGGUGCGAAAGCGUGGGGAGCAAACAGG